AACGUAGGAGACAAACGUUAUCCGGAGUUACUGGGCGUAAAGGGCGUGCAGGCGGUCUGUUAAGUCUGGCGUGAAAGCUCCCGGCUAAACCGGGAGAGGUCGUUGGAGACUGACAGACUGGAGGACGGUAGAGGCGAGUGGAAUUCCGGGUGUAGUGGUGAAAUGCGUAGAGAUCCGGAGGAACACCAGUGGCGAAGGCGACUCGCUGGGCCGUACCUGACGCUGAGUCGCGACAUCAUUGGGAGCGAACGGG
This 253-nucleotide ribosomal RNA is filed under the name uncultured bacterium. Its description in RNAcentral is "partial 16S ribosomal RNA". It matches the Rfam family "Bacterial small subunit ribosomal RNA", at positions 524 to 776 of the family's 1533-position model. The record is from RNAcentral.